UAACCAUUGUAUUCGAAGCUUUUACUCUUCCAGGUCUCUUCGACUUAACUAUAGUUGAUUUUUCACAUUCACGAGCUUCUUGUUUAUCUAACUCUCCAACCUCUAACUCCAUUUCUUCCUUCAACCCGUCAACAUCCUGAAAAAGCUUCCUUUUACCCAUUGGCGACGACUUCACAUUAUUCUUUUUCCUCUAACUCCAUUUCUUCCUUCAACCUGUCAACAUCCUGAAAAAGCUUCCUUUUACCCAUUGGCGACGACUUCACAUUAUUCUUUUUCCUGUUACCGGCACCCUUAGUCCUAGAUCUCA
This 307-nucleotide long non-coding RNA is filed under the name Nicotiana benthamiana. Its description in RNAcentral is "long non-coding RNA (NBEN_LNC017620)". Lineage: Eukaryota; Viridiplantae; Streptophyta; Magnoliopsida; Solanales; Solanaceae. The record is from RNAcentral.